GCUAUACAUGCAAGUCGAACGAACUCUGGUAUUGAUUGGUGCUUGCAUCAUGAUUUACAUUUGAGUGAGUGGCGAACUGGUGAGUAACACGUGGGAAACCUGCCCAGAAGCGGGGGAUAACACCUGGAAACAGAUGCUAAUACCGCAUAACAACUUGGACCGCAUGGUCCGAGUUUGAAAGAUGGCUUCGGCUAUCACUUUUGGAUGGUCCCGCGGCGUAUUAGCUAGAUGGUGAGGUAACGGCUCACCAUGGCAAUGAUACGUAGCCGACCUGAGAGGGUAAUCGGCCACAUUGGGACUGAGACACGGCCCAAACUCCUACGGGAGGCAGCAGUAGGGAAUCUUCCACAAUGGACGAAAGUCUGAUGGAGCAACGCCGCGUGAGUGAAGAAGGGUUUCGGCUCGUAAAACUCUGUUGUUAAAGAAGAACAUAUCUGAGAGUAACUGUUCAGGUAUUGACGGUAUUUAACCAGAAAGCCACGGCUAACUACGUGCCAGCAGCCGCGGUAAUACGUAGGUGGCAAGCGUUGUCCGGAUUUAUUGGGCGUAAAGCGAGCGCAGGCGGUUUUUUAAGUCUGAUGUGAAAGCCUUCGGCUCAACCGAAGAAGUGCAUCGGAAACUGGGAAACUUGAGUGCAGAAGAGGACAGUGGAACUCCAUGUGUAGCGGUGAAAUGCGUAGAUAUAUGGAAGAACACCAGUGGCGAAGGCGGCUGUCUGGUCUGUAACUGACGCUGAGGCUCGAAAGUAUGGGUAGCAAACAGGAUUAGAUACCCUGGUAGUCCAUACCGUAAACGAUGAAUGCUAAGUGUUGGAGGGUUUCCGCCCUUCAGUGCUGCAGCUAACGCAUUAAGCAUUCCGCCUGGGGAGUACGGCCGCAAGGCUGAAACUCAAAGGAAUUGACGGGGGCCCGCACAAGCGGUGGAGCAUGUGGUUUAAUUCGAAGCUACGCGAAGAACCUUACCAGGUCUUGACAUACUAUGCAAAUCUAAGAGAUUAGACGUUCCCUUCGGGGACAUGGAUACAGGUGGUGCAUGGUUGUCGUCAGCUCGUGUCGUGAGAUGUUGGGUUAAGUCCCGCAACGAGCGCAACCCUUAUUAUCAGUUGCCAGCAUUAAGUUGGGCACUCUGGUGAGACUGCCGGUGACAAACCGGAGGAAGGUGGGGAUGACGUCAAAUCAUCAUGCCCCUUAUGACCUGGGCUACACACGUGCUACAAUGGAUGGUACAACGAGUUGCGAACUCGCGAGAGUAAGCUAAUCUCUUAAAGCCAUUCUCAGUUCGGAUUGUAGGCUGCAACUCGCCUACAUGAAGUCGGAAUCGCUAGUAAUCGCGGAUCAGCAUGCCGCGGUGAAUACGUUCCCGGGCCUUGUACACACCGCCCGUCACACCAUGAGAGUUUGUAACACCCAAAGUCGGUGGGGUAACCUUUUAGGAACCAGCCGCCUAAGGUGG
RNAcentral lists this ribosomal RNA (1452 nucleotides) under Lactiplantibacillus plantarum. Its description in RNAcentral is "bacterial SSU rRNA". It matches the Rfam family "Bacterial small subunit ribosomal RNA". Lineage: Bacteria; Bacillati; Bacillota; Bacilli; Lactobacillales; Lactobacillaceae. The record is from RNAcentral.